UAGGGAAUCUUCGGCAAUGGGGGCAACCCUGACCGAGCAACGCCGCGUGAGUGAAGAAGGGUUUCGGAUCGUAAAGCUCUGUUGUAAGUCAAGAACGGGUGUGAGAGUGGAAAGUUCACACUGUGACGGUAGCUUACCAGAAAGGGACGGCUAACUACGUGCCAGCAGCCGCGGUAAUACGUAGGUCCCGAGCGUUGUCCGGAUUUAUUGGGCGUAAAGCGAGCGCAGGCGGUUUGAUAAGUCUGAAGUUAAAGGCUGUGGCUCAACCAUAGUUCGCUUUGGAAACUGUCAAACUUGAGUGCAGAAGGGGAGAGUGGAAUUCCAUGUGUAGCGGUGAAAUGCGUAGAUAUAUGGAGGAACACCGGUGGCGAAAGCGGCUCUCUGGUCUGUAACUGACGCUGAGGCUCGAAAGCGUGGGGAGCGAACAGG
RNAcentral lists this ribosomal RNA (429 nucleotides) under bacterium. RNAcentral's name for it is "partial 16S ribosomal RNA". It matches the Rfam family "Bacterial small subunit ribosomal RNA", at positions 355 to 776 of the family's 1533-position model. The record is from RNAcentral.